CGGUAAAUACGUUCCCGGACCUUGCACACACCGCCCGUCAAGCCAUGGGAGCCGGGUGUACCUAAAGUCGGUAACCGCAAGGAGCUGCCUAGGGUAAAAUCGGUGACUGGGGCU
Molecule: ribosomal RNA, 114 nt
Filed under: uncultured bacterium
Lineage: Bacteria
Description: partial 16S ribosomal RNA
Rfam family: Bacterial small subunit ribosomal RNA
Source: RNAcentral